AGGAGUUUCUCAUAUUUCUGUAGCUCUUUUUUAGUUAUUUUUGUUUGUUCAGUAAUGCUGUUGAGGGUGGCGGUUUGAUAACUGCAAUUUCAUGUAAGACUGACAGUGACUGCAAAUAAAUGCCAGCUGAGGAAUACCAUCCACAUUGUGAGUCUCUGUCUAACUCUGCUGCAACUAAUUGGUGUAAUAGCUCAAGCUGCACAAAGCAAUUGCUAAAAUCAGUCAUACUCAGCAGACCACUUCUCUAUCCAGAUGGAACAAGAAACAAAGCAAACUGAGAACGUUUCAAUGGCUGGGGGCAAUAUUUGGCUCAACGGUUGCGAACACAGGGAGAGCGUCAUAAAAGAGCCACACAGCCAGCAGACCGGGGAGAGAGAGAGUCUGGAUCAGAAAGUUCCAUGAACCUAAAGUGUUGUAGAGAUGAAUGUAUAUUGUUUAGCUGAACCUUUUUACAAAACUUUAUGCAAAGUUAUUUUGAAGCUGACAUCCACUUUGAAGCUGGUGUGCUGUGGCGCCCUGUGAAAGCCAAAUAAAAGUACUCACUUGAG
Molecule: long non-coding RNA, 548 nt
Organism: Xyrauchen texanus (razorback sucker)
Lineage: Eukaryota; Metazoa; Chordata; Actinopteri; Cypriniformes; Catostomidae
Exons: 3
Source: RefSeq, a predicted model, not a curated record